CCCUUAACUAUUAAAAGCUUCGUUUUGGUCCGUUAACUUACUUUUUGGUUUCGUUUUGGUCCCUUAACUCAUCAUUCGUCAACCACUUUGAUCCUUUAUGUUAGGAUGAAUGUAUUAGAGUUAAGGGACCAAAAUGAAACCAAAAAAUAAGUUAAGGGACCAAAACGAAACCAAAAAAAUAAGUUAAAGGACCAAAACGAAACUUUUAAUAGUUAAGGCACCAAAAGAAAAUCCAAAAAUAAGUUAUGGGACCGAAACGGAACUUUUAAUAGUUAAGGGA
Molecule: microRNA precursor, 280 nt
Filed under: Medicago truncatula (barrel medic)
Lineage: Eukaryota; Viridiplantae; Streptophyta; Magnoliopsida; Fabales; Fabaceae
Description: MIR2655 microRNA precursor family
Rfam family: MIR2655 microRNA precursor family
Source: Rfam by way of RNAcentral